GCGGUAAUACGUAGGGUGCGAGCGUAAUCGGAAUUACUGGGCGUAAAGCGUGCGCAGGCGGUUUCGUAAGCUGUAGGUGAAAUCCCCGGGCUUAACCUGGGAAUGGCCUUAGGACUGCGAGGCUAGAGUGCGGCAGAGGGAGGUGGAAUUCCACGUGUAGCAGUGAAAUGCGUAGAGAUGUGGAGGAACACCGAUGGCGAAGGCAGCCUCCUGGGCCAGCACUGACGCUCAUGCACGAAAGCGUGGGGAGCAAACAGGAUUAGAUACCCUGGUAGUCCACGCCCUAAAUGUCAGGUGUUGGGGAGGGUGACUUCCUUAGUACCGCAGCUAACGCGUGAAGUUGACUGUCUGGGGAGUACGGCCGCAAGGUUAAAACUCAAAGGAAUUGACGGGGACCCGCACAAGCGGUGGAUGAUGUGGAUUAAUUCGAUGCAACGCGAAAAACCUUACCUACUGACAUGCUUGGAACCCUGCUGAGAGGGGGUGCCCGAAAGGGAGCCGGGACACAGGUGCUGCA
RNAcentral lists this ribosomal RNA (517 nucleotides) under uncultured beta proteobacterium. Its description in RNAcentral is "bacterial SSU rRNA". It matches the Rfam family "Bacterial small subunit ribosomal RNA", at positions 517 to 1045 of the family's 1533-position model. The record is from RNAcentral. Lineage: Bacteria; Pseudomonadati; Pseudomonadota; Betaproteobacteria.